UGGGGCUCCUUAAAUAGGUGACCCCCCUGUGGACACGCCCCAUACUCUCAUUGAAAUCCCAUCUGUGUAUAUGACUUUUGUUGCUUCCCACAAAGCGGACGCUUGGGUGUAGAAUCCCUAGGGUUAGCCUGUGGGGAGGAAGACAUAAACUCUAUUUGUUGUAUUGUUAGUCUGAGUGGUUAUCACAUAAAACAAGUUAAAACUUUCAACAACGGAUCUCUUGGUUCUCGCAUCGAUGAAGAACGCAGCGAAAUGCGAUAAGUAGUGUGAAUUGCAGAAUUCAGUGAAUCAUCGAAUCUUUGAACGCACAUUGCGCCUUCUGGUAUUCCGGAAGGCAUGCCUGUUCGAGCGUCAUCAAACACAUCCUCAAGCAGCUUUGCUUGGUAUUGGAGGAAGAUGUCCGCAUCCCCUCUCAAAUCUCUCAGCGGAAACCUCUGCAGUCUCAGGUGUGAUAAUUAUUUUUCGCUUGAUGACUGAUGGGUAUGUUCUUGCUGUUAAGAGCCCCCCAGCUUCUUUUUGAGUUUGACCUCGGAUCAGGUAGGG
RNAcentral lists this ribosomal RNA (543 nucleotides) under Plectania milleri. RNAcentral describes it as "eukaryotic LSU rRNA". The stretch from base 201 to 354 matches the Rfam family "5.8S ribosomal RNA". Lineage: Eukaryota; Fungi; Ascomycota; Pezizomycetes; Pezizales; Sarcosomataceae. The record is from RNAcentral.